Long non-coding RNA from Triticum aestivum (bread wheat), 3651 nucleotides. RefSeq lists it as uncharacterized. The transcript has 2 exons. The record is from RefSeq and is a predicted model, not a curated record. Lineage: Eukaryota; Viridiplantae; Streptophyta; Magnoliopsida; Poales; Poaceae.
CUAAAGCCACCCAACAAAUUAUACACGAAGUAAUCAAGACCCUCCGAUUAAGUCAACUUAAACACAUCCUACAGUCUAUAUUACGCUAAUGAUGUAUCAACCAGAUCGACGUCUCAGAUGAAAAGUUCUGCCCAGCAGACGUCGUGGUCUGCCAAUCCUCUUCACGCUUCGUGUCCCCCGCCCGCAACUCGCGGAUAGAUUCCGCCCGUCUCCAUCGUUCCCCACCCCUCCCUCCUGGCCUCCUCUCUCCUCCUCGCCGCCGCUACAGGAGGCCGCCGGGCGAAGCUCGACCUGCGUCGGCGGCGCCGGGUUCGCUCUCCCUCGAGCGGCGUCAGCGACGCGGGAUGCGGCAGGCUCGGCCUGCGUCGGCGGCGCCGGUGUCCCUCUCCUCCGUCGAGCGGUGGCGGCGUGAGGCGCAUCAGGAUCGACCUGCGUCGGCGGCGGCGGCGGCGGGAUCACUCUCCUCCGUCGAGUAGCGGCGGCAGUGCGGGACGCAGCGGGCGGCGCAUCGCGGUGAUUAUGUGGAGCUUGUGAAGGAAAAAGGCAAACCAACAAGCUUGGGCAAUCGUCUAUUGGCGACAACCUGGUAUAGAUGACCUACCUAUUGUUAAUUUUCCAACUCUCACUUUGUAGGUCUGCAAUUGUAUCUCCUGUACUAAACAAGAGAGCAUUUAAAUUUGACGCCUACAAAUUUGUGGCUUGCUGCAUAGGGGUUUUCCAUAUCUACAUUCUAAUAUUCUCCAUAUUUUUUUAUUAACGUUCAUAUCAAAUGUUUGUGGUAUGUAGGUUCAAUAGUUGACAAAACUGAAUCUCUCUUACCAGCUAUGACUUCAUGGUCAAUAUAUAUACAUGUGCAACAUCCAAAAAGAGAGAUGUCAUCAAACUUCUCAUUAACUUUUUCCGGUUCUACUUUCUCCUUUACUGUUGAAAGCAUAUGGAGUGCUAUCAAUCAAUAUGAACAACUUCCUGCCGCCUCUCUUCUGCUGGAUUGCUUUUUUUUCUGAAAAUAUUUGGUAACUCAAUAUUUUUCUCUUAAUUCAUGAGAUUAUAUAGUGCCAAGAUUUUACUGGUUUCAUCUUGCGUGUUUGUGCCAUCAUGAGUUUGUUCUUUCUGCGGGAAAUGGCUAUAUGACUUCAGAUCUUGAUAAUUAAUUUCGGAACUUCGAAAAUUCUGGAGAUGAAGAAUGUGUCAGUAACCUAAAACACAUAUUGAAGUAUCAUUCACCGAGUAGUGCUCAGAUGGUAACUUGGUGAGUUAUACUGCAUAUCAGUGCAAUCACAUUUCUGUACUUUCCCUCCAAUAUGGAGGUACGUACAAGGCUGUAAAUAUUAGUAGCACAUCUUCUCACAUAAGUUACCAAAGUCAUGUCCUUCUAUUUUUACCCUUCUCAUGCUCAUAGAGCUUGGAAAAGGGUUGCUAGCUUUGGUAGCUUGAUUUUGGUCCGGGGGUACAGAUUUACCGUGGGAACGAGGAACAACAAUGCUACGUAAAUUAGAAAACAUGUAUUCUUCUAUGAACUAUAUAAUAAUUCUGAGCCUGUAUGCAUAUCAGUUUUGAGAUUCCAGUUUCUACUAUCGUGGAUGCUACCAGUUACAGUUGACAAGAAUUUAUUAUACCUUUUUAGGAUGUAAAUUCGAAACCCGUAAUUUGCAUUCCUGAUCUUUUUAAUUAUUCUUGUUGUGAUGAACAUUUUAAGGGUGUCAGUGUUGAUAUGUGCCAUAAAACUCGCAGGUUUCUUUUAAGCUCUUUCAUUAAUGAUGUUUGCUCCUCCUUUGUACUUCUAAUUAUUAUGGCAGGAAGUCUCACUACUACACAAUUCAUGCCUCUGCCAAAUAUUCUAAUCAUUUGUAUUUUUGAAGUUGUAGAUGAUUAGAUUUUCAGCUAAUUUUCUGUUGUAGCAUACACAUUGUGGCAAGCUAACACUGAAAAAGUAGAAAUUGGACGCCUCAAGUUCCUGAAGUUUUCAUGGCAAAAAAGAGAAAAUACUAGACUUAAUGAGCGCGGACAAUGGAAUUCUUGAUUUUUAUGCGUGCCAUUCAAAAGAUGUGACAUAUUUGUAAGCCUUGGAGCUUGUACAUUGGCAUGAGACCACAUUCAAGACCAGAGUUAGUUUUUUUAGGGAACGAUCAGAGAGUUAGUGAGGAUGAGGGAACCUGCUUUUGUUAGAGUUGUUCAUGGAUGAUGGGAGAUGCGGUUUUGGGCCUCCCAUAUGUUUGUUUGCGCCUGAAUAUGAGUGUACUUCCUUCAAGACGUAAUACAAAAAAUACUUGUUUUUGCAAUGUAAUGUGGAUAUACAUGAUUCUAUUGGGGUGUGCAUACUUAAGGAUAUCAUGAAUGGAAUAUUGUACUUUUUUGCGAUGAAAUGAAACAUUGUACUUGUAUAAUCAAUUUUGUCCACAUGAAUAUAAUUUUAUCUGAUGCUUCAGAUGAUUACAGCUCAUUCAGGCUAUUAGAUUUUUGGAUGCCCAAUCAUUUGUUACAACAAUUAGAUGUUUUCUAUGCAUUGCAAUAUGCAACUAGGAAGGUUUGUAAAUCUUAUCAAAGUAUUUUCUAGAAAUUUACAUGUGAUGUUUUUUGUUGGCUCAUAUGAAUGUAUUUUUUUCUAUUGUGCUAUGGUGCGUUGCACGUGCACACCUACUAGUACUACAAAAUAGCCCUGUCCUACCCCCAAACCACGUUCCCCACCUCUUCCCACUCUCCCCGAUUCCCAGCCGCAGCCAUCCCCUCCGCUGUGCGCCUCCCCCUUCCUCCCAACGACCGGCGCACCUCCCCACGGCUGGGUCCAGGUCGGCUCCCACGCGCCGCCGCUGCCAUCUUCCCCGGUGCGCCACGCCCACUCCCCAGAUUCCUCCGCCGCUGCCUCCCGCCCCUGGACCACGGCCCGGCGCGCUUCCGCCGCCGCCUACCCGGCCCAGACGCGUAUCUGUCGCCGCCCAUCCCUGCCCCGAUGCGCAUCCGCCGCCGCCCAUCCCUGCCCCGAUGCGCCUCCACCACCGCCCACCCCGGCCCCGACGCACCUCCAUCCCCCGUCCCCCGGUCUUCACGCGCCUCCACCUGCCUUCCCUUUGAUGCGUCGCGACGGCGACGGCCACCACCCUCCUCGCCCCCACCACUCCGCGUGGUUCACCUCCACCAACCCAAAAAUCGCCCUGCCUCUCGACACCUGCACGCAGAGACGCUGCCCCCGCUGCCGAACCCCUGCCUCCGCUUGGCUCUGUCCUCUGCAGCACACCACGUCUCCCCCGCCGUCCACCUGCCUUGUUCAUGUCCCCAGGUGACCUUGUGUCCAAACGCGUACUGACCUUCCUCCUCCUCCUGCUUCCUCCUUCCCUCUUGGUUGAUUGAACUCUAUCACAUGGAGCAGUAGAAGCCCUCCACUGAUCCGUCCGGCGCUGUCACCUCUGCCCGAGCUCUUAGUGACGUGCCCGAGGCCAUAAUUUCCAGUCCAGAUCACCUACAGUGUUCUGGGUUUCAGAUAUUUGGUUCACGUCGGACGUCGACGGCGAUACGUGCAGAAAUCUUCUAGUAUCUCUUUUGCCUCCCCUUUUCCCUCUUCCAUUUUGUUGUUUGGAAAUCUCUGGUAGGCCUUUGAUUCAAAAAUACUUCGGCUAUUAUUUGUACGAUAUAUAUGCAUAGGAAUUUUGUUCUCCA